This 228-nucleotide unclassified non-coding RNA is filed under the name uncultured fungus. Its description in RNAcentral is "partial contains 18S rRNA, ITS1, 5.8S rRNA". The stretch from base 177 to 228 matches the Rfam family "5.8S ribosomal RNA", at positions 1 to 52 of the family's 154-position model. Lineage: Eukaryota; Fungi. The record is from RNAcentral.
UAACAAGGUUUCCGUAGGUGAACCUGCGGAAGGAUCAUUAAUAAUGCUCUCUGGCUUCGGUCAGUUGAGUUCAAUGAGUGCCUUCUCUUCGGAGUUGGCCAUCCAUACACACCGUGAACUGUGGCUUCGGCCAUCACAAACUGUUAGUAAUGAAUGUAAUAUCAUAACAAAAACAAAACUUUUAACAACGGAUCUCUUGGCUCUCGCAUCGAUGAAGAACGCAGCGAA